Molecule: RNA transcript, 364 nt
Organism: Mastomys coucha (southern multimammate mouse)
Lineage: Eukaryota; Metazoa; Chordata; Mammalia; Rodentia; Muridae
Gene name: DNA-directed RNA polymerases I, II, and III subunit RPABC4 pseudogene
Exons: 1
Source: RefSeq, a predicted model, not a curated record
GGCACUAACAAUGGAUACCCAGAAAGAUGUCCAAUCACCAAAGCCGCAGCCAAUGAUAUAUAUUUGUGGAGAGUGUCACACCGAAAAUGAGAUAAAAUCCAGGGAUCCAAUCAGAUGCAGAGAAUGUGGAUACAGAAUAAUGUACAAGAAAAGGACUAAAAGAUUGGUGGGUUUUGAUGCUCGAUGAAAUGGGGAGUUCAGGAGUGUCUUCAUUCAUACAUUUGCUUCAUUUAUGUUUCUCUUUAAUGUAUAGCAUUUUAACUUAGUUUACUUAAUGAUUACAACUGGGUAUAUCUAUGAUUUCACUUUAGAAAUGCAAUUUGUAUUUUAAUACUUUGUAUAAAGGAAAUUUUGAUUCAAAAAA